GUGUAUGGCCAUGCUACCCUGAACGAGCCCGAUCUCGUCUGAUCUCGGAAGCUAAGCAGGGUCAGGCCUGUGUUAGUACUUGGAUGGGAGACCACCUAGGAAGACCAGGUGCUCUAGGCG
This 120-nucleotide ribosomal RNA is filed under the name Pteropus alecto (black flying fox). Lineage: Eukaryota; Metazoa; Chordata; Mammalia; Chiroptera; Pteropodidae. The record is from RNAcentral.